This 71-nucleotide transfer RNA is filed under the name Alligator mississippiensis (American alligator). It matches the Rfam family "tRNA". Rfam says of the family: Transfer RNA (tRNA) molecules are approximately 80 nucleotides in length. Their secondary structure includes four short double-helical elements and three loops (D, anti-codon, and T loops). The record is from Rfam by way of RNAcentral. Lineage: Eukaryota; Metazoa; Chordata; Crocodylia; Alligatoridae.
GCACUAGUGGCUGUGUGGUAGAGUUUCUGCUUGUCAUGUAGAAAGUCUGAGUUCAAGUCCCAGUUUAGGUG